AUUACAUGUGUUUCGUGUCCGCUGUGGCCCACUUGUGUGUUAUCGGGUCAACAGGAGAGAGUGCAACCCGUUUUGAGUGGGGAGGGGACUCGACUGUAUAGUGUGCCUUGUUCAUGUCGCCGAAGCGAGGGGGAAGCUGAAGCGGUGGCUUCGGACCGGCGAAUCUGCCACCAUCACCAAAGCGAAUCAGUGACAUCGGCAUAGGUUGGCGACCCGGCGAAUUGGCUAGGUCUCCAGAUCGGUGGCCUCGCUGGUAUUCGGCGUUUUGCUUUCGAUUUCGGGUUGAUUUGGAUCCAGUUUGGAGUGCGGAUUUUUUAUUUGAUUUGUGUUGUUGUUAGAGUCUAUUUUGAGAGGAUUUCCACUAGAUUAGUGUUCGGUGUUGUGUGGGUGUUUGGUUUGAGGUCUUUUCACAUGGGUUUGGCUUGAGUCUGUGCGUGCAAGCGGCGGCGGCGGCCGGGCGGAGGACGGCAUGUACACGGAGCUCUGGAACCUCUGCUAGUCAGCUGGCCACGGUGCGCAGGAUCCGAAACCAUGGUGAUUGAGUCUAAGGUACGAAGUUUACAUAUUCUGCAAAGAGGCUAGCUCUCAAACUGAUGUUUCAAGAAGACAUUGAGACUACACCCAGGUAUCUUCUAUGAACUGUCUUUUGUGAAACAGGUCUUUGUUGAAAUUUCAACGGUGUGUCAAUAUUUAGGAUAUGUGGUUACUUAUGCAUGUAUGUGAACAAUAACAAAGCUUAGAUUUUGUUAUCUGUUGCAAACUCGCAUCUAGCUAAUAGUUUUUUUAAUGGAGAUCACAAUUUAACUUCAAUAGACACCUAAUAGCUUACAGGCUUGCUGAUCAAAUAACCAUGGAAUUGUCAUUCCAGUUGAAUCUAAAUUCCAGUCUCUCAUACCUAACAUUUGCAGACAAGGACAAGAUGUGUGGUAUCUUUUGUUAUCGACGAAGACAAGCAAAAUAGUUUUACAUGUAAUUUUACUCAACAAAAAACUUUACUCGUAAUUUUUUCUCGCAUAAACAUUUUACAUGUAAUUUGUUGUGUGUUUAUAUUUUUGUGUAUGAUGUACCUUUAACUAAAAAACACAAAUAAAAUAGGCCAAUUCUAGGCUUAAUGCUAGGUACUGGCCUGUUUAUUGCUUUGAGAUGCAUGCUUAUUUGUUUUGGGAUCACUGAUAAGAUAGUGGAUUGCUUUUGCUUCAAAAAUUUUGAAGGUCACUCUAUAAGUUCUAUUAUUGUUAGAUUUAUUGCAUGAUUGAAAAGCAUAUAUGUUAGUUUCUUCUAUGUAUGCAUCUUCCAUUAGCUGACUAUUUGUUUUUUAUCUACAAGUUUCAAGAUGAGUAUUCUUUUUCAUUACUUUCGUGUAAUUUUCUAAUAAAAGGUGUAUUUAAGUUUGAAAAAGAACAUUUUCUCCAUAUGUACAUGUCCAUGUGUACCUGCGACUCUGUUAUUUGUUUCUGUCCGUCCGACCAUAUCUGUACUUGGUUUCAUAGUUGAGUUCUGUCAUAUUUUCUUGAUCAUGGCAUAGUGCUGGGAGUCGAUGGAAGAUGUGUAGAUCAUGCCUUCUUCUUUUCCUUCAUGUUCUGAUUUAGCGAUUUUGUCUAGUUACAUGACCUACAUAAGGUGGACUGAAAAUGAUCUCAAAUACCCCGCCCCCCUAUUAAAAAAAACUUAACUUUUGUGGUUACCAUUAGUUCUUUCUGAGUGUUCUGACUUUGUGAGAAAUAUCUUUUUCUUUGUGUGUGUGUGUGUGUGUGCACCUAAAGAUACCAGAUUAGCACCAGGCUCCUCUCAUAUUCUUUUGUAGCACUUCAGGUGUACAAUGUAGUUGUUUAACGAUAUGUUGUAAAGCUGGGAUAAACUAACCGAUGCAGGCAAAAUGGUACUUGAGAGCUGGAGAGGGAGAGAAUAUUAGAGUUAGGUAUACCAUUCUCCUAUGAUACAGCUUCAUUGAAGGGAUUUGCAUAGGACCCGGUGCGUGCCAAGAGGUGAUUGUAACUACCUGCUGAUUGUGGUCACACUAAAGCUCUAUGUGGUAUUAAACUUUGUGUGGUAUGCCAUUCUCUAUCUCUAUCUAAUGAGAAUGCCUAGCUUGUUUGGAUGUCUUUUAUUUCGAAAAGGAAUAAACAUAAUAGCAUGAUUUUGUAUUACAAUUUUUCUUUUUUGAUAAAUGUUGUGUUCUAUCUUUUUUGCCCUCUCACAAAUAUUAUACUGCUCACAUUGUGCAAUAUUAAUAUUAACAGAAAUAUUUUCAUUUGCUAUGUAUUUUUCUGAUUUGUGAUUCUAUUCUCUGUCAAAUUUUAAUCCCUUCACCAGUCCAAGACGAGGUAAUAGCUGUCAUAUUUGUGUAGGAUAAUAUAUGUUAAACUUAAUUAUAAGUCAAUAUUCUUUUAGUUAUAUUUUCUAACAAAAGCUUCAUUUUAGACUCAUAGCUAAGUGUACUUUUUUGUUGCAAUUAAUAAAGUGUCACUUGCUAUAAUUUUGUUUUUUUCUAAUGCUACAAGCUUUUUUCAUAAUAUGUUUUUAGUAUGAGAUAUCAUAUCAUUUUCUAGGAUGUAAUUAACAUAAUUUAUAUAACAUUUCCAUUAUUCUGUUGUAUUACAUUUUUUUCUUACACUGUGAAAAAAAGUAUUAAAGUGUGCAUCAUAUUGUAUUGCAACAAAUAUUAUAGUGUAAAAAAAAUUAUAGGUGCUAUAUAUGAAUCUAAAGUGCUUACACUUUGUAACUUAUAGUAUAUCAGUGCUGUAUUUUUUCCUUGCUUAGAAAAUCUAUGGUUAAAAAUUUUCUUCACAAAUUAUGUUAUAGUUCCUUCCCUGGGUCAGUCACUCUUGCUGUAUUAUACCUCUUAUUUAGGCAUUUGUGGUUGCUGGUGGUGGUUCAUCAGCCGUAGGAAUAACAAAAGUUUCUUUGACUUCUUUGAUUGUUCAACCUUUCCAACUGUGAUUUUUUUGUAUCUAAAGUUUUGCUCAUUUUACUUCUGUUCAAAUCUAUUCAACUUCAUCUAUUUCUUGUGCUUGCAAUUGAUAUAGCAUAUGAUUUUAUAAUGCUAGAACAAUAUUUUUUGUUAGACCUGAAAUAUGUAGAUUUCUUCUGCCUUUUUAUUUGCAAAGUAGUAAGCAUUAUCGACAUCUCAAUUCUUUUGUUCCCUUCAUUUAAACUUCCUUUUAGGUACAACAUAUUAUGGCUCAUGAUUAUUAUGGUAGUUAAUGAUUAUAGGUCCAUGCUGGACAAUUUUCAUAGGAACAAAAAGACUUAACAUCAGUGCAGUAUUUCCCAUGAACUAGUCAUUAGAUGUUCAAUUUGGUUACCUGUUACUUCCAAAGGUGCGGAUAUGGUUAUAAUAUAUCUACUUGUAUUUUUAUGUAAGCUGUGUUUUUCGGUAGCCUCUGUUUUGUCUUGCUUGUGUUGUUCAAGUCCCCUGUUCCUGAACCUUUGGUUCAAGAGUGCAGGUUGUUCGUUGUGCACAUUCAUUUUACUCUUAGGGUGAGAUCUCUGUUUGAGCCUUCACUCAUCAGCCUUGCUUGAUAUAGCAGGAUACUGUCUCUUGGGCAGGAGCUUACCACUAACCUCAAAAAGAAUCUUUGAUGAUUUCAAAGGGCGCGUUUUCUCAAGUCCCAUACAAUACUCUCUAUUUUAGUAUCUUAUUCCUUUUCGAUGUGCAGACAUGCUCUUUUUCUUUGAGGAAUACAUGCUUGAUAUUAUGCAUACUCCAGUUUUAGCUAUUUACCUUUGCACUACACUGUAAUUACAUUUUCCUUAUGACUGUACAAGUAGGGGACAAAAUUUAGGUGUACCUAUAUGAAAUGUCACCAUCUUGGAUUAACCAUGUAUGUUAUUGCUAGUAGUUACUAUGGUUAUACAGUUCCACAUGUUACUUUCCUUGUCUGCAACAUAAAUUUGCUAUCAAACUCAAAUUGUAGUGUGCUUGCUAAGAUUCAAAUUCUAUGGAUUAACUGAUUCUUGGAUGCCGGAAUCUGUGCAGGGGGUGCUAUGCUAUCUCUUCAAUGGCUCAUGGUUAUGGUACCCAACAACAAUUAAUAUUGGCCCAGUUCUUGACAACUCCCCUCCACAAAAAUAUUUCUAAGAUGUAUCAUGUAAUUUCAGUGUUUUAUCUAUUUUUUCUAAGAUAAUUACUGAUGUAAAAUAUUAUAAUAUGCAUUGACACCGAAUCUAUUUAUAUUAUUAGAAAUGAGUAUGUUGCAUGUGGUAUUUAUGAAA
Panicum virgatum (switchgrass) is the source of this 4215-nucleotide long non-coding RNA. RefSeq lists it as uncharacterized. The transcript has 2 exons. NCBI's taxonomy places the organism in Eukaryota, Viridiplantae, Streptophyta, Magnoliopsida, Poales, Poaceae. The record is from RefSeq and is a predicted model, not a curated record.